GGUGGAGCUGGCUAGAUUUGCUUCUCGUCACUUACGGAACCAGAGAGAGAUGGGCACCGAGUCUGUAGCAGGUUGAGCGCGAGGGGGAGGAGAAAGCCGCAAGGGGGUGGGGGGGGGGGGGGAUCAACGUCGUUCGGUAGCGGUGAGGCGAAGAUCAAAUAAGUUUUCUUCAAUCUUGGCAGUGCUUCUCCUAUCCUCUUGACUGUGAUGCAAUGGAUAUCUACGCCAUAUCAGUGGGUUAUUUCUGGGAGGGUUUUAGAGUGAG
RNAcentral lists this long non-coding RNA (265 nucleotides) under Spirodela polyrhiza (greater duckweed). Its description in RNAcentral is "long non-coding RNA (SPOL_LNC001621)". The record is from RNAcentral. Lineage: Eukaryota; Viridiplantae; Streptophyta; Magnoliopsida; Alismatales; Araceae.